AAUUAUUUCCGACGACUUGUUUCGUCAGUAUGUCGUCGGAAUAACGAUAUUCCGACGAAAUUCCGACGAUUUUUUCCCUCAGAAUCCUUGCUGUUUUCUUGUAGUGAGAAUCUUUAGCAAAAUAAUAUUAAGAUAUUUGGUAGAGCUCACAUUUUGUUAAGGAUUGGGUACUAAAAAUCCUUAAUUAAAGACUGAUUGUUAGUGAAUCCUUACACUAUUCACAGGUCCCACGACACGUGGCGAUCCGCGAUUGGUUCCGUUUUAAUUUUUUUAAAAAAAAAAUACGGACAAAAAAAAUAAUAAAAAAUUCUAAAAAGUUUACCUACGAUUCCGAGCCACCGAGAACAUCAUUGAAAGUGCUCUAACUAGUAUAAAGGUGUUCACACUGGCGAAGCGAAGUUUAAUUUAUAUUUAAUUUAUUUUUAUCGUUUUACUAGUAUUAUUAUGAAAUGAUAUAUUCUCUUCUCCGUGUUUUUUUUUUGUUUAUAGAUGGUCCAUACGGUCUCACCAGGUCACCAAGUAGCGAUCACAAAAGAAUCUUUGUAAACUAAUUGGCUGAAGGGGACCACCAAGCAACUAGUUGAUGUAGGAGCGGCUGAGAAAGCUACGCAUUUGGCUGGGUAAAAAGCGCCACUUAUUGGGUAAGUUCAUAAAUUAGUUAAAACUUUGAAAAAUUAUUUUUCUUAAAUUUUAGGGAAAUUAUUUGUUAAAAAGCGUUAUUUGCAAAUUAAAUGAUUUUUACAAAAAUAAAAACUAAAAACUAAAACUUGAUUGAAGAAAAAAAAUGGUUUUUGAAAAAAAAUAAAAACCAAAAACUAAAACAAAAACCAAUCACCGUAGUCUCCCUCUUCUGAUCCAUAGAAAGGCCAAGGAAGUGGGUUGAACUUUCUGACGGAAGCAGCUGCUUCACACCAUGCCUUGCAGACAGCGGAAGCUUUUAUGUUGUCUUUUAGUCCGAGGCGGGAUAGUAUCUCCUCCAAGAGCUCUGAGGGAAUAUUUAGAUCCCACAAUCCUUUAGUGCACUGGUUCUUUGAUCCAUGAUUUUCUCUAGCCUUAGCACUGCAUCGACAACUAGUAGAAGAAGAAGCAUUAUGCACGGUGAAUCAUCAAGAGAUAUUACAACGAUGGGAAGACGUAGGUUCGAAUAUUGGAUAUAUAUAGUGAAAGCGGUUAUAGAACAUUUAGAACACAAAAGCUAAACCCUAAUACAGAGAUCAUGCCCUGGAAGUUCGAUUAAAAAAAACUCACCAUGGCGCUUGAACAAUAGGUUUCAUUGUGAAAGCUUCUGGGAGCAGUGACGCCGGAGUUGCUGCCAUGUAUCUUCCACAGCCAGUCCAGAUUAUCUCCAACUGUAACUUCUACCCCACUAGACUUAGGUCAACAAGUAGUUAUUAGGGUUUUUCCUUAUUUUAUUUUUUACAGCAAAAGGAUAAAUGUUAUUUAUUUUAUUUUUUUGUUUAUAUAUUCUGGAAUCAGUUCAAAAUAUUUUUUUACAAUAUAUUUAUUGUAUGUUUUCUUAUUUGUUAAUUGUUGCUACAGUUUGUUUUGGUCACCUUAGGGUUUUCUCACGCCUUAUGUGCGUAUAUAUUAUCUCUUGUAUCUUAUGAAAAGUCUGCCCUUCUAUUCGUAAAUGGUUUACAAUGACACUUAUCGUAAUCGUCACUGCCGGUCUUCUUCUUCCCCUUAGCCUCCUCCUUUUCCUCUUCCUUCACCGACGUAAUCCCCUAUAUAUACGAACCCUCAGGUGGAUUAUCUUCCUCCUAAAUUUUCUGAUUAAUCCUUAUUCCAUACAAUCAACCCUAAUCUACUUAUUACAUAACGUCCCAUAUACAUGCUUUGGGUUUAAUAUCAUUUCUGACCUUGCACGUGACCUUCUUCUUCUUCAUGUUUCCUACGUAUUUGUCAUGGGCUCAUCUUCAUCUCUUCACCAUAUUUGUCUCUUUCUUUUCCCAGGAUUAAGCAUAGGAGAAAUAUUCGACAGUAGUCUCCCUAAUCACCAAGAUGAACCCUCAGGAUUAAGCAUAGGAUCAAUAUUCAACAGUACGUAGUCUCCCUAAUCCCCAAGAUGAACCCUCAGGUGGAUUAUCUUCCUCCUACACUUUCUGAUUAAUUUUCACUCUAUUAUCCUUUUCCAUACGAUAUGCUUACAUAUUUAUAUAUACUACCAACCCUAAUGUACUAUUACAUACCACACAACCCAUAUGAUCAGAGGUUAAUAAUUUCUGACCCAGUGACUUGUUGUCUUACACACAAACCUUUGAAUUUCCUUCUCCUUUUUUUAUUUCUUGUUCAUGUAAUUCCUGUGUAUUUUUGAUGCAUGCUCUCAUCAUCUUCUCUUCACCAUAUUUGUUCUUUCUCAGAAUUAAGCAUUAUAAGAUCAAUUUCCAACGUUAGUUUCCUUGAUCCCCAAGAUGAUCCCCAAGAUGAACCCUCUGGUGGAUUAUCUUCCACACUCGUGCAGAAGCUUCCCCAAUUCAAAACUUCCAAACCAGCCAGACCAGACGGAAGCGAAUGCGUUGUUUGCCUUGAUGGAUUCAGAAAGGGACGAUGGUGUCGGAGACUUCCCGGUUGCGGACACGUGUUCCAUAGGAAGUGUGUGGACACUUGGUUCCUCAGAGCUGAUACAUGCCCAACAUGUCGAGCUAGGGUUAGAUUGACGGAGGAAGAUGCACAACAAGGAUGAUUGUGGAAGAGAUGAUUGGGUCUUGGAUAGUGUUGGUUUUAGAAGAAGUAGUUUGCUAGACUUGUAAAGCUGUUUUUAAUGCAUUAUUCUUUAUUCAUCAUCUUCUUCACUCAACAUGACAUCAUUUAGAACUACAGAAGAAGAUUUUAAAACCA
Long non-coding RNA from Brassica napus (rape), 2838 nucleotides. RefSeq lists it as uncharacterized. The transcript has 2 exons. The record is from RefSeq and is a predicted model, not a curated record. NCBI's taxonomy places the organism in Eukaryota, Viridiplantae, Streptophyta, Magnoliopsida, Brassicales, Brassicaceae.